GAGUAUCCAGAGAGAAGUGAUUCGUGCAGGGGUGAGCCUUCUUUGUUCCAGAAGGCCUGUUAUUUCAGAUUAUGUUAUUCCUUUAUUUUGGUCUACUGGGGCCUUGUUCCAGUUUUCAGAACAGUUGUGAGAUGUAGUAGAGAUUUCGCAGACUGAGUCAAAUCUUAUUCAGAUGUUUUGAAUUGCAGCUUUCAUUCUUAUGUCUUGAAUCUCAGAGUUAAUGACCAUGUUUCCAUAUCAGAUUGUAUUUC
This 251-nucleotide long non-coding RNA is filed under the name Capsicum annuum. RNAcentral's name for it is "long non-coding RNA (CANN_LNC003352)". The record is from RNAcentral. Lineage: Eukaryota; Viridiplantae; Streptophyta; Magnoliopsida; Solanales; Solanaceae.